CUCAUUUUGGGAGAAAAUAUACUAAAAUGGGAAUGAUUCAGAGAAGAUUAGCAUGGCCCCUCUGCAAAUAUGACACACAAAUUUGUGAAGCAUUUCAUAAUUUU
Manis javanica (Malayan pangolin) is the source of this 104-nucleotide small nuclear RNA. Lineage: Eukaryota; Metazoa; Chordata; Mammalia; Pholidota; Manidae. The record is from RefSeq and is a predicted model, not a curated record.